UGGGGAAUAUUGGACAAUGGGCGCAAGCCUGAUCCAGCCAUGCCGCGUGAGUGAUGAAGGCCUUAGGGUUGUAAAGCUCUUUUGUCCGGGAAGAUAAUGACUGUACCGGAAGAAUAAGCCCCGGCUAACUUCGUGCCAGCAGCCGCGGUAAUACGUAGGGGGCUAGCGUUGCUCGGAAUCACUGGGCGUAAAGGGCGCGUAGGCGGACUCUUAAGUCGGGGGUGAAAGCCCAGGGCUCAACCCUGGAAUUGCCUUCGAUACUGAGAGUCUUGAGUUCGGAAGAGGUUGGUGGAACUGCGAGUGUAGAGGUGAAAUUCGUAGAUAUUCGCAAGAACACCAGUGGCGAAGGCGGCCAACUGGUCCGAUACUGACGCUGAGGCGCGAAAGCGUGGGGAGCAAACAGG
Molecule: ribosomal RNA, 404 nt
Filed under: Actinomycetes bacterium
Lineage: Bacteria; Bacillati; Actinomycetota; Actinomycetes
Description: Actinobacteria bacterium partial 16S ribosomal RNA
Rfam family: Bacterial small subunit ribosomal RNA
Source: RNAcentral